CAGUCGCCACGGGAACACGGAGGGUGCAAGCGUUAAUCGGAAUUACUGGGCGUAAAGCGCACGCAGGCGGUCUGACAAGUCAGAUGUGAAAUCCCCGGGCUUAACCUGGGAACUGCAUUUGAAACUGUCAGGCUGGAGUCUUGUAGAGGGGGGUGGAAUUCCAGGUGUAGCGGUGAAAUGCGUAGAGAUCUGGAGGAAUACCGGUGGCGAAGGCGGCCCCCUGGACAAAGACUGACGCUCAGGUGCGAAAGCGUGGGGAGCAAACAGGAUUAGAUACCCCGGUAGUCCCUGUCUCUUAUAC
This 301-nucleotide ribosomal RNA is filed under the name uncultured bacterium. RNAcentral describes it as "partial 16S ribosomal RNA". It matches the Rfam family "Bacterial small subunit ribosomal RNA", at positions 509 to 807 of the family's 1533-position model. The record is from RNAcentral.